AUAAUGGUUGGAGUGUUUACAUAUUACUGCAAUGAUGAGUCAAGCUUAACUGAUAUUGAGAAAUUGGCUCAGUCAGAAUCUGAUGUUUUGUUCACAAGUAAAGGAGAUAAGGUGAUUAAAGUCUGUUCUCAAUCUGGAUUCACAUCAGAUAAAGGUAACCUGGUUUCAAGUGAACAUGGAUCUAAUUACAAUGUCAAAAUAACUGGAAUGACAUGCUUCAGAUGCGUCAAUGCAAUCAGCAAUGUUGUAAAAGACCUUCCAGUUCUAGCAUUCUCCAUAAGUCUUGAGAAGGCUUCUGGAGACUUUGUCCUUAGUGAGGGCAUUGAUAUCAAUAUGAUUGUUAGUGUAAUAAAUUCUAUAGGUUCUAAAUUUACUGCUUCACUUUAAUUGGAUUUAGUAUGUUGUUAUCCUGUUAUAUGAAGUUAUGCAUCAUGAUAAAGUAUCAGUAUCUAAAGAUCUAUGUAAUUGGUUAUCUUGAUAUACAUUUUUUUUAAAUAAUAUUAUUUUAAUUUGGAUAAUUAACUUUGAUUUUAUUGGAGACUAAUCCUCUGAAUUUCUGGUGAACUUUAAAAUUCAGUAGUUUAUCUAGGAUUUAUUAUCAUUAAAUAAUUUCAUAAUAUUAUUCAGAUGACAUUUAAAAGCUUCAGUGUGUAGUAAUAUUUGAAAUAUUGUACAACUCAAAGUUGUAUUCACCUGCGUCCUGGUAGUGUGCAUGCAAUCAAGUUAUUCUUAAAAGUUUCAAUUACAGCGUUCCCUGAAAAACCAUGCCCAGAAAAACCAGUCUUUACAUAAAUUCACUGUUACUUGGUUUCUUCAAAAUUUCAAAAUUUAAUACAGAUUCUUCAUCAUCCAGGAUACUUUACCGGGUGGCCCAGAAGUAACUGCCCACACGCAACCCUUAAUUAUGAAUCUUGAAAUCCGUUUCAGAAUUGCAUAAUUUUACUUUCUAUCCCUUCCAUAGUAUGAUUUUUCAGGGUUUCACUGGACAUGUUUAUUGUAUUUUUACCAAGUUAAAUAAGAUAUGAAUUAUUGUGCUGGAAUUAGGAAACGCCCAAGGCUUGGGUCUGUUGAGGAAAGUAACAUUAGGUUGUUCCAUAAGUUCAGUUCAGCUUCGGAAAAUUACAUUGUGGCCUGGUCGUUUCCUAACUGAAAAGCAGAUAUUAUGAAAAAGCUAAUUCAAAUAAAUUGUAUCUCAAUAUCCUUGAUAUUAUUCAACUACUAA
Long non-coding RNA from Bolinopsis microptera, 1222 nucleotides. RefSeq lists it as uncharacterized. The record is from RefSeq and is a predicted model, not a curated record. Lineage: Eukaryota; Metazoa; Ctenophora; Tentaculata; Lobata; Bolinopsidae. The transcript is spliced from 3 exons.